CAAUCACGGGGUGUCUAUGUGGGGGGGUGGGGAGAGGGGGGGAACAACCACCUGACCCUCGAGUCACGUGAACGCGCUCGCCUCUCGUUUCUCUCCCCCUCCCCCCCUUUCCAGCCUUCUGUCGCUUUCCUCCACCCCCAACACUUGCUCUGCUUGUAGGGGCUGCAUCACAAACAAGUCAGAAGACUACAAUUCCCGGCGUGCGAUGCUCUGGCCUCGCCCUUGACUUAAGGAGCUGAUGAACUUCCGGAGCGCCAAAAUGGGACCCAUGUAAUAAAUACUGUUUUUUAAAGAAAAGAAGAUGAGACCUCACCCCCCACCCCAACACACACACAAAGAAACAAGCAAAAUCAAUACAUCGAAAAAGUCAGAAAGUAUACAAAGAGCUGAUGACUCAACGGACCUUUCAGAAAGAGUGCUUCCACCCCAGCUCUCUUCCCUGGAGCUCUUUCCCUCCAUCCCAGCAGAAAUGGGGAACAGCAGAGAAUGUAGCUAAUUAAAGCAAGUACUUUGUCU
This is a long non-coding RNA of Phascolarctos cinereus (koala), 516 nucleotides long. RefSeq lists it as uncharacterized. The record is from RefSeq and is a predicted model, not a curated record. Lineage: Eukaryota; Metazoa; Chordata; Mammalia; Diprotodontia; Phascolarctidae.